GUAAAUGGGCAGUUUCUUGUACUCAAUGGAUAGAAAAAGUGAAGUUCUAAAGAAAUAGCUAUGAGUUUGGGCGACUGGAACAACGGAAUUAGCCGAAAAUAGGGUUCAAAGUGGGCGAAAUUGCCGAUUUGUAAACAGCGCCGAGGUCGCUAACUUCACGAGAGCAUAAUUCCGUCAGUUUUCCAUCAAAUUUCGUUUUUUUGGUGUCAUUACAAUCGGGAAAAGAUUCUCUAUCAUUUCAUAAGAAAAAAAUAAUUUUUUUUUUUUUUUAAAUUUUGCGACACCAGGAGACACCUCAGGAUUGGGGGUUGCGACAGUCAAAGGGUUAAAAUCUGCAACACUCUACCUGAAAACUCUAGAACUGCAGACACAUUCAUCACCUUCAAAACUACCAUUAGAAAACAUAAGUGUCUCAAUUCUUCAACUUGUCGGUUUUCUAAACCAUUCAUCACAACUGCAUGUAGUGACUGGUCUUCAGGAAUCAAAGAAGUUAAUAAUAAACACAUAACUGAUACUACUGUCACUGACAGUAGUGUCAGUGUAGGUUUACUGAGCAGUGGACGUGGAAAGGAAUUUAAGCAGAGGUGGCUCAUGCGGGGGUUCUGCAGCACCCCCUAUUUUCUUUAACUCUUUGAUUAUAUAAUGUACAAGUAUAAAGAAAGAUUUAAAGGAAAAAAAAAAAAGACAUAUUUAAUGUUAGCGAUAAUACUGAGUGAAAAUAGUGGGUGCUGCAGUUCCACAGCACCCUCGUAUGAGCCGCCACUGAAUUUAAGCCUGACAUCUCUGGGUGGACAUCUUUUCAGUAUAAAUGUUACAAACCUCAACUUUUAUUCACUAUGCACACACACACACACACACAUCUUUACUUUCCUUGGUCCAGGUUUAAUGCUUAGUUUGACAAUAUUAUUAUUACAGGAGGUCCCUGUUUUCAUAGCUGUUAUGUUCCUGACCCUGACUGAUAAGUGAUAGUUGUUGGCGAGUGGAAAAGUUUUUUUUUUUCGAUAUCGAAAGGGUCCGAAAUUCCCGAUAACAUGUUUACACUAUAAUACAGUGGACCCCCGGUUUACGAUAUUAUUUCAUUCCAGAAGUAUGUUCAGGUGCCAGUACUGACCAAAUUUGUUCCCAUAAGGAAUAUUGUGAAGUAGAUUAGUCCAUUUCAGACCCCCAAACAUACACAUACAAACGCACUUACAUAAAUACACUUACAUAAUUGGUCGCAUUGGGAGCUGAUCGUAAACUGGGGGUCCACUGUAUAUAAAGUGCUCAGUACAGCUUGGCAUAAAAAAAUCACAUACAAAAGUAAAAUAAAUACAAAAUACAUAUAAUACUUAAAACAUGACACCGGUAACUCUUCCCUGACACAACUGUUGUGCAAAGAAGCAGAAAAAGCACCAAACAAUAACUAAGUUGAAAACUGCUGAAAAAGUGAGAACAGUAAAGAGGGAGCAGAAAACACAGGGCUUUCCUAUAUUGCUUUCCUUUGUGUUUUGUAAUACAUAGUUCUUAAUCCUGUAAUAUUUCCUUUCCUACCUAAGAGGCCUGGUCUGUGACCGAGCCCAGGGGGAGCCUAGGAGGCCUGGUCUGUGACCGAGCCCAGGGGGAGCCUAGGAGGCCUGGUCUGUGACCGAGCCCAGGGGGAGCCUAGGAGGCAUGGUGUGUGACCGAGCCCAAGGGGAGCCUAGGAGGCCUGGUCUGUGACUGAGCCCAGGGGGAGCCUAGGAGGCCUGAUCUGUGACCGAGCCCAGGGGGAGCCUAGGAGGCCUGGUCUGUGACCGAGCCCAGGGGGAGCCUAAGAGGCCUGGUCUGUGACCGAGCCCAGGGGGAGCCUAGGCCUGGUCUGUGACCAAGCCCAGGGGGAGCCUAGGAGGCUUGGUCUGUGACUGAGCUUAGGGGGAGCCUAGAAGGCCUGGUCUGUGACCAAGCCCAGGGGGAGCCUAGAAGGCCUGGUCUGUGACCGAGCCCAGGGGGAGCCUAGGAGGCCUGGUCUGUGACCGAGCCCAGGGGAGCCUAGGAGGCCUGGUCUGUGACCAAGCCCAGGGGGAGCCUAGGAGGCCUGGUCUGUGACUGAGCCCAGGGGGAGCCUAGGAGGCCUGGUCUGUGACCAAGCCCAGGGGGAGCCUAGGAGGCCUGAUGCCUGGUCUGUGACCGAGCCCAGGGGGAGAUAAUCCCCAUGACCACCAUAUAAUUUCCAACUUUUUUUUAUUCAAUUUUAGUGAAUAAUUAAUGAGGCUUCCAGGCAUUUUUGACAUUGAAAGUCAUCACAGGACACAACUUUAGAUGUAAUAUUGAUGGUAGAGUUACCAACAGUAUGUUAGAUAAAUGGACACAAAGUGCAACUAAUGUGACAUUUUAUUGUGGCAACAUUUUGCUCUCCAGGAGCUUUGUCAAACCCAUUACAAACAAUACAUGGACACAGAGAGUAUAUAUAGGUAUAUUGUGAGGUGCAAAGCAUAAUAUAAUCAUUGUAGGUGGUGGUAGUAGUUGUACUAUUACUACCACAAAUACUACUGCUAUUACCUACAAUGAUUGUAUUAUGCUUUGCACCUCACACUAUACCUAUAUAUACUCUGUGUCCUUGUUUGUAAUGUCUUAACAAAGUUCCUGCAGAGUGAAUUGUUGCUACAAUAAAAUGUUACAUUAGUUGCACUUGUGUCCUUAUAUCAAACACAACCUUAGACCUGUCCACUACAUUAUGUGGUUGUCACUUGACUUCAUAGGUUACCUGAUGCUGUCUCUUACCUCACUGUCAUGUCAUCACCUUUCUUGCCAGUAUGUUGUUCUCAAACCUGUGUUUGUUAGGAUCAUAGUCCCAGAACUCAAAUAUUUUCUAGAUAUUCACAUUUGCUCAUGUCUCUUUCUCGACCACUUUCCUGCGUCUACUGAAGUUGAUGCUAGUGUUGGGCACUUGAUGCAAGGAAUUGGACUUUUUCCUCUCUUAGAUCCUCUCAAGGAAGGUUCCUUGAUGCUGGUGAGGGGCUCUUGAUCUAGGGAAUUGGAUCUGUGCUCCAGUUCCCUGAAUUGAGCCUGAAUACCUUCAGUCCUUCCCCUACAUGCGCUGUAUAAUUCUAUGAGUUUAGCGCUCCCCCUUGAUUGUAAUAAUCCUCUCUUGGAUUGAAUUGGCCUGCCUCUCAUUGACCCUUGUGGAUUUAGCUCUUAGUUAUGAUUAUAACCAGCGCUGUAUAGCCCUUGUGGCUUAGCGCUUCUUUUUGAUUAUAAUAAUAUAAUUGCCUCCCAUUUCCCAGGCACACUAUGACCUCUGUGGGUUUUGUGCUUCACCCUUGGUAACAGAAAAAGUAAAAGUUAAUGAAAAUGGCACCAGGCUGCCAUCUACUGUAGGGAGAAUAAAAAUAAUUUUUUUUUGCAUAAUAGAUGGCACUAAAAAUUUAUAAAAAUGACACUGAUGCCAUCUAUUGCUGGAAUUACAUAUUAACCCUUAAACUGUCCAAACAGAUCCAUGUUCACAUGUGUAGUGCUCCAAAAGUAGAUCUACAUAUUUUCCAAUAUAAAAAAAAGUAGAUCAAAGUUUUUUUUUACACAUUUUCAAAUGUAAAAAAAGAUCUACUUUUUUUACAGUGAAAUGUUGAAAAAAACGUAGAUCUACGUUUGGACAGUUUAAGGGUUAAAUUAGUUCAUUUUUUGCAUAAUAGAUGGUACUAUAAGUUAAUGAGCUGUAUAGCCCUUGUGGCUUAGCGCUUCUUUUUGAUUAUAAUAAUAUAAGUUAAUGAUGGCUUAGCGCUUCUUUUUGAUUAUAAGUUGAUGAAAAUGGGAAGAGAGUAUAAAUAUUUUUAGUUCAUUUUUUUGUGCACUAGAUGGCACUGAAGAUGAGAAGGGCACUUGGAUGCCAUCUAUUGUUGGAAUUAUGAACUAAAUCUUUAGUUCAUUUUUUGCAUAAUGGCACUAAGUUAAUGAAAAUGGGAAGAUAAAUUAGGAGAAACUGAACUAAAUAUUUUUUAGUUCACUUUUUGCUCAAUAGAUGACAAAAAAAAAAUUGAAAAUGGGAGCAUUAAUUAGGGGAGUAAACAAAAUAUUUUUAGUUCAUAAUUCUCUCACUAGAUGGCAUCCAAGUGCCAUUUUCAUUAGUAAUUUUCAGCGCCAUCUAUUAUACAAAAAAUGAACUAAAAAUUUAGUUCAUAAUUCUCACAAUAGAUGGCGUCAAAGUGCCAUUCCUAUUAUUAAUUUUCAGCGCCAUCUGUUGAGCAAAAAAUGAACUAAAAAUAUUUAGUUUAGUCUUCCCUAGUUUAUCAUCCCAUUUUCUAAUUUUUUUUUCGCCAUCUAUUGAGCAAAAAGUGAACUAAAAAAAAUUUAGUUUAGUCUUCCCUAGUUUAUCAUCCCAUUUUCUAAUUUUUUUUUCGCCAUCUAUUGAGCAAAAAGUGAACUAAAAAAAAUUUAGUUUAGUCUCCCCUAGUUUAUCAUCCCAUUUUCUAUUUUUUUUUUUUUCGCCAUCUAUUGAGCAAAAAGUGAACUAAAAAAAAAUUUAGUUUAGUCUCUAGUUUAUCUUCCCAUUUUCAAUAACUUACAGCACCAUCUAUUAAUCAAAAACUGAACUA
Non-coding RNA from Cherax quadricarinatus, 4547 nucleotides. The record is from RefSeq and is a predicted model, not a curated record. NCBI's taxonomy places the organism in Eukaryota, Metazoa, Arthropoda, Malacostraca, Decapoda, Parastacidae.